GGGGAUUUAGCUCAAUGGUAUAAGCACCUGCUUUGUAAGCGCAUGGUCAUGAGUUCAAUCCUCAGUACCCCCC
RNAcentral lists this transfer RNA (73 nucleotides) under Cavia porcellus (domestic guinea pig). It matches the Rfam family "tRNA". From Rfam's summary of the family: Transfer RNA (tRNA) molecules are approximately 80 nucleotides in length. Their secondary structure includes four short double-helical elements and three loops (D, anti-codon, and T loops). The record is from Rfam by way of RNAcentral. Lineage: Eukaryota; Metazoa; Chordata; Mammalia; Rodentia; Caviidae.